Molecule: ribosomal RNA, 468 nt
Filed under: uncultured bacterium
Lineage: Bacteria
Description: partial 16S ribosomal RNA
Rfam family: Bacterial small subunit ribosomal RNA
Source: RNAcentral
GACGAACGCUGGCGGCGUGCUUAACACAUGCAAGUCGAACGGAAAGGCCCUGCUUUUGUGGGGUGCUCGAGUGGCGAACGGGUGAGUAACACGUGAGUAACCUGCCCUUGACUUUGGGAUAACUUCAGGAAACUGGGGCUAAUACCGGAUAGGAGCUCCUGCUGCAUGGUGGGGGUUGGAAAGUUUCGGCGGUUGGGGAUGGACUCGCGGCUUAUCAGCUUGUUGGUGGGGUAGUGGCUUACCAAGGCUUUGACGGGUAGCCGGCCUGUGAGGGUGACCGGCAACAAUGGGACUGAGAUACGGCCCAGACUCCUACGGGAGGAAGCAGUGGGGAAUAUUGCACAAUGGGCGGAAGCCUGAUGCAGCAACGCCGCGUGCGGGAUGACGGCCUUCGGGUUGUAAACCGCUUUAGCCUGUGACGAAGCGUGAGUGACGGUAAUGGGUAAAGAAGCACCGGCUAACUACGUG